Molecule: ribosomal RNA, 505 nt
Filed under: uncultured bacterium
Lineage: Bacteria
Description: partial 16S ribosomal RNA
Rfam family: Bacterial small subunit ribosomal RNA
Source: RNAcentral
GACGAACGCUGGCGGCGUGCCUAAUACAUGCAAGUAGAACGCACAGUUUAUACCGUAGCUUGCUACACCAUAGACUGUGAGUUGCGAACGGGUGAGUAACGCGUAGGUAACCUGCCUGGUAGCGGGGGAUAACUAUUGGAAACGAUAGCUAAUACCGCAUAAUAUUAAUUAUUGCAUGAUAAUUAAUUGAAAGGUGCAAUUGCACCACUACCAGAUGGACCUGCGUUGUAUUAGCUAGUAGGUGAGGUAACGGCUCACCUAGGCGACGAUACAUAGCCGACCUGAGAGGGUGAUCGGCCACACUGGGACUGAGACACGGCCCAGACUCCUACGGGAGGCAGCAGUAGGGAAUCUUCGGCAAUGGACGAAAGUCUGACCGAGCAACGCCGCGGGAGUGAAGAAGGUUUUCGGAUCGUAAAGCUCUGUUGUAAGAGAAGAACGGGUGUGAGAGUGGAAAGUUCACACUGUGACGGUAGCUUACCAGAAAGGGACGGCUAACUACGUG